AUGAACGCUGGCGGCGUGCCUAAUACCUGCAAGUCGAGCGAACAGACGAGGAGCUUGCUCCUCUGACGUUAGCGGCGGACGGGUGAGUAACACGUGGAUAACCUACCUAUAAGACUGGGAUAACUUCGGGAAACCGGAGCUAAUACCGGAUAAUAUAUUGAACCGCAUGGUUCAAUAGUGAAAGACGGUUUUGCUGUCACUUAUAGAUGGAUCCGCGCCGCAUUAGCUAGUUGGUAAGGUAACGGCUUACCAAGGCAACGAUGCGUAGCCGACCUGGGAGGGUGAUCGGCCACACUGGAACUGAGACACGGUCCAGACUCCUACGGGAGGCAGCAGUAGGGAAUCUUCCGCAAUGGGCGAAAGCCUGACGGAGCAACGCCGCGUGAGUGAUGAAGGUCUUCGGAUCGUAAAACUCUGUUAUUAGGGAAGAACAAAUGUGUAAGUAACUAUGCACGUCUUGACGGUACCUAAUCAGAAAGCCACGGCUAACUACGUG
RNAcentral lists this ribosomal RNA (496 nucleotides) under uncultured bacterium. Its description in RNAcentral is "partial 16S ribosomal RNA". It matches the Rfam family "Bacterial small subunit ribosomal RNA", at positions 29 to 507 of the family's 1533-position model. The record is from RNAcentral.